GAAUUCGCCCUUAGAGUUUGAUCCUGGCUCAGGAUGAACGCUGGCGGCGUGCUUAACACAUGCAAGUCGAACGGAGUACCCCUGAAGGAGUUUUCGGACAACUGAUGGGACUACUUAGUGGCGGACGGGUGAGUAACGCGUGAGUAACCUGCCUUGGAGUGGGGAAUAACAGCUGGAAACAGCUGCUAAUACCGCAUAAUAUGUCUGUGUCGCAUGGCACUGGACAUCAAAGAUUUAUCGCUCUGAGAUGGACUCGCGUCUGAUUAGCUAGUUGGCGGGGUAACGGCCCACCAAGGCGACGAUCAGUAGCCGGACUGAGAGGUUGGCCGGCCACAUUGGGACUGAGACACGGCCCAGACUCCUACGGGAGGCAGCAGUGGGGAAUAUUGGGCAAUGGGCGCAAGCCUGACCCAGCAACGCCGCGUGAAGGAAGAAGGCUUUCGGGUUGUAAACUUCUUUUCUCAGGGACGAAGCAAGUGACGGUACCUGAGGAAUAAGCCACGGCUAACUACGUGCCAGCAGCCGCGGUAAUACGUAGGUGGCAAGCGUUAUCCGGAUUUACUGGGUGUAAAGGGCGUGUAGGCGGGACUGCAAGUCAGAUGUGAAAGUCCGCGGCUCAACCGUGGAAUUGCAGUUGAAACUGGAGGCCUUGAGUGCACACAGGGAUGCCGGAAUUCAUGGUGUAGCGGUGAAAUGCAUAGAUAUCGCGCAGAACUCCGAUUGCGAAGGCAGCAUGCCGGCUCCACACUGACGCUGAGGCACGAAAGCGUGGGUAUCGAACAGGAUUAGAUACCCUGGUAGUCCACGCAGUAAACGAUGAAUGCUGGCUGUCCGGGGGGACUGACCCCUGGGUGGCGAAGCGAAAGCGAUAAGCAUUCCACCUGGGGAGUACGCCGGCAACGGUGAAACUCAAAGGAAUUGACGGGGGCCCGCACAAGCGGAGGAACAUGUGGUUUAAUUCGAUGAUACGCGAGGAACCUUACCCGGGCUCAAACGGGGAGUGACUCAGGCAGAGACGCCUGUUUCCCACGGGACACUCCCCGAGGUGCUGCAUGGUUGUCGUCAGCUUGUGCCGUGAGGUGUCGGCUUAAGUGCCAUAACGAGCGCAACCCCCGCGUGCAGUUGCUAACAGUCAACGCUGAGGACUCUGCACGGACUGCCGGCGCAAGCCGCGAGGAAGGCGGGGAUGACGUCAAAUCAGCACGGCCCUUACGUCCGGGGCGACACACGUGUUACAAUGGGUGGUACAGCGGGAAGCCAGGCGGCGACGCCGAGCGGAACCCGAAAUCCACUCUCAGUUCGGAUCGGAGUCUGCAACCCGACUCCGUGAAGCUGGAUUCGCUAGUAAUCGCGCAUCAGCCAUGGCGCGGUGAAUACGUUCCCGGGCCUUGCACACACCGCCCGUCA
Molecule: ribosomal RNA, 1407 nt
Filed under: uncultured bacterium
Lineage: Bacteria
Description: bacterial SSU rRNA
Rfam family: Bacterial small subunit ribosomal RNA
Source: RNAcentral